RNAcentral lists this long non-coding RNA (297 nucleotides) under Mytilus galloprovincialis (Mediterranean mussel). Lineage: Eukaryota; Metazoa; Mollusca; Bivalvia; Mytilida; Mytilidae. The record is from RNAcentral.
GUCUGGCUGAAAGUUGAGGUUAUGUUGGUUGGUGAUGUUUUUCAGGAGAUUGAAGAAUCUUAUAUAAGUGUAAGCAUCUCGCUGUCGAAGCAAAGAAUACACCAAUGGAAUCAUGGCUGUGCCAACAAAUACAUGAAAGAGUGCUGAUCUCUUACUUUCGAAUGUAGGCAGUUUUGGGGCAGUCUCCAGGGUCUGGGCAUCCUUACUUUCGAAUGUAGGCAGUUUUGGGGCAGUCUCAAGGGUCUGGGCAUCCCAUGGUGCAUCUCUGAGUUUUGUUAUUUAUUCGUCAUAAAUUGA